UACGAAGGGGGCUAGCGUUGUUCGGAAUUACUGGGCGUAAAGCGCGCGCAGGCGGCUAUCCAAGUCAGUGGUGAAAGCCCGGAGCUCAACUCCGGAACUGCCAUUGAAACUGUUUAGCUGGAGUAUGAGAGAGGUGAGUGGAAUUCCCAGUGUAGAGGUGAAAUUCGUAGAUAUUGGGAAGAACACCAGUGGCGAAGGCGAGUCCCUGGACAACACCUGACACUGAGGCACGAAAGCUAGGGGAGCAAACAGG
RNAcentral lists this ribosomal RNA (253 nucleotides) under uncultured bacterium. RNAcentral describes it as "partial 16S ribosomal RNA". It matches the Rfam family "Bacterial small subunit ribosomal RNA", at positions 524 to 776 of the family's 1533-position model. The record is from RNAcentral.